CACCUUUCAGAAUGAAUCUUUCGGGCUUC
Molecule: ribosomal RNA, 29 nt
Filed under: Cunninghamella bertholletiae
Lineage: Eukaryota; Fungi; Mucoromycota; Mucoromycetes; Mucorales; Cunninghamellaceae
Description: partial 5.8S ribosomal RNA
Source: RNAcentral